CACCCCUACCUGUCGGCAAGGUCCUCUGAUCCCUCCUAAUUCCUAAAAAAACACUAAACAACUAGUAGUACAUUGGAUUCCAUCUGCAUGUCAGCAAUUCCUAUGCAUAUGAUAGCGAACAGGAAAAACGAAUGCAUUAGUCGUGAAGUCUAGGUUACCAGAGAAGAUAUAUAGGUACCAUUAAUUUUGCACUAGUCCAUAAGAUGACAUUUAAUUAAUGCGAGUUUACAAUGGUGUUUCAGACAUAACUCAACAGAACUAAGUUUAAUUUGUUGAAAUUUUAAAAGGUCAAAAAACAUUUAUUUUUACUACACACGGCAAAACACAUAGGAUGCUAGACCAUGUGAGAUUAUGUGCUAUAUAUAUGUGCCAUGAUAAAAACUUACUUGUGUUCCCGAUGAAGCACAAAUAUCAGUUUCAAUGAAACCACACGUGCGCUCCAUUUCGUCUAGAGCCUCCCAAUUACUUUAAGUGUAUCUGGCCUAUCUGCUGGGUUACGGUCGAUGCACUGAUUUCCAAUCUCCACACACACUCUCACAUAUUGCAACCAUAUGUCUUCGUGCAACUGCUUGAACCUAAUACUCCAACUUUGAAGUACCCUUAUCUGGGCAAGGGUUUGUGUCGAAUAAACGGAAUGCAUUACUUUCAUAACCUACUCCUAAUUAAAUAUGGUCAGGGGAGAAGCAAGGACCACACUUCUCGAGAAUACCUAAGAGAAAUAAAAGUCUAUAAAAUCACCUCUAAGAAUAAAAGAAGCCUAAAAAUCAUAACUCAAUCCAUUUUCAAUCAAUCCAACAACCCUUAUCUAGUCAAGCACCCCUGUCC
Molecule: long non-coding RNA, 825 nt
Filed under: Sorghum bicolor (sorghum)
Lineage: Eukaryota; Viridiplantae; Streptophyta; Magnoliopsida; Poales; Poaceae
Description: long non-coding RNA (SBIC_LNC007980)
Source: RNAcentral